ACUAUUUUGGCAGAAAAGUGUAAUAGAUUUAGAAUCUAUAAAUGUAAUUUAAAUUACAAAUAGUA
RNAcentral lists this transfer RNA (65 nucleotides) under Rhabdoblatta densimaculata. RNAcentral describes it as "tRNA-Leu". It matches the Rfam family "tRNA". From Rfam's summary of the family: Transfer RNA (tRNA) molecules are approximately 80 nucleotides in length. Their secondary structure includes four short double-helical elements and three loops (D, anti-codon, and T loops). The record is from RNAcentral. Lineage: Eukaryota; Metazoa; Arthropoda; Insecta; Blattodea; Blaberidae.